UUACUCUCUCUUGGGAGCCCUUGGUGUGCUAUUUUCGUUUCUUCACUAUGAAUGAGCAAGAUCACAUCUUUCUUCUUCUAUUAUGUGCAACAAUGCUUGUUCUUGCUUGAUGGAAUGAAGAUUUACCAUUUCUCUCUUUAGAUUUUCGUUUUGAAGGUUAAAUGCUUGAGUUUGAAGCUUCUUCUUUGCUUUUUCAUGGUGGUUUCCUUGGUGGAAGGGAGACCCAUUGCCCAUUUCGGUUUUCUCAUCAUUUUGCUGCAUUGAUUUCGUUUUUAUUUUGAGUUUCUUGGUUUGGAGGAUGAAAAUGGAGUUGUUGUCAAGUUUGGUAGUGAAAAAGGCUUAAGUUGGUGCAUGGGUAUUGUAUUCUUGAGCCAUUUUCUUCUAGCAUUUUGUUCUUGAUGUUUGGAAGCAUAUUUUGAGCUGGACUUUGUGAUUGAUGAUGGUGGCUGGAUGGUAAUGCUAGGGAAGCUAGAG
RNAcentral lists this long non-coding RNA (474 nucleotides) under Vigna radiata. RNAcentral's name for it is "long non-coding RNA (VRAD_LNC000415)". The record is from RNAcentral. Lineage: Eukaryota; Viridiplantae; Streptophyta; Magnoliopsida; Fabales; Fabaceae.